GAUCAUGGCUCAGGAUGAACGCUGGCGGCGUGCUUAACACAUGCAAGUCGAACGGAGUCUGCAUGAAACCUAGUGAUUGUAGACUUAGUGGCGGACGGGUGAGUAACGCGUGGGUAACCUGCCUUGUACUGGGGGACAACAGUUGGAAACGACUGCUAAUACCGCAUAAGCGCACAGCUUCGCAUGAAGCAGUGUGAAAAACUGAGGUGGUACAAGAUGGACCCGCGU
This 228-nucleotide ribosomal RNA is filed under the name uncultured bacterium. Its description in RNAcentral is "partial 16S ribosomal RNA". It matches the Rfam family "Bacterial small subunit ribosomal RNA", at positions 15 to 236 of the family's 1533-position model. The record is from RNAcentral.